Molecule: ribosomal RNA, 253 nt
Filed under: uncultured bacterium
Lineage: Bacteria
Description: partial 16S ribosomal RNA
Rfam family: Bacterial small subunit ribosomal RNA
Source: RNAcentral
UACGUAGGGUCCGAGCGUUGUCCGGAAUUACUGGGCGUAAAGAGCUCGUAGGUGGUUUGUCGCGUUGUUCGUGAAAACUCACAGCUCAACUGUGGGCGUGCGGGCGAUACGGGCAGACUUGAGUACUGCAGGGGAGACUGGAAUUCCUGGUGUAGCGGUGGAAUGCGCAGAUAUCAGGAGGAACACCGGUGGCGAAGGCGGAUCUCUGGGCCUUACCUGACGCUGAGGCGCGAAAGCUAGGGGAGCGAACAGG